This 465-nucleotide ribosomal RNA is filed under the name Vreelandella stevensii. Its description in RNAcentral is "partial 16S ribosomal RNA". It matches the Rfam family "Bacterial small subunit ribosomal RNA", at positions 338 to 795 of the family's 1533-position model. Lineage: Bacteria; Pseudomonadati; Pseudomonadota; Gammaproteobacteria; Oceanospirillales; Halomonadaceae. The record is from RNAcentral.
CCUACGGGGCGCUGCAGUGGGGAAUAUUGGACAAUGGGCGAAAGCCUGAUCCAGCCAUGCCGCGUGUGUGAAGAAGGCCUUCGGGUUGUAAAGCACUUUCAGUGGGGAAGAAAGCCUUGGGGCUAAUACCCUCGAGGAAGGACAUCACCCACAGAAGAAGCACCGGCUAACUCCGUGCCAGCAGCCGCGGUAAUACGGAGGGUGCGAGCGUUAAUCGGAAUUACUGGGCGUAAAGCGCGCGUAGGCGGUCUGAUAAGCCGGUUGUGAAAGCCCCGGGCUCAACCUGGGAAUGGCAUCCGGAACUGUCAGGCUAGAGUGCAGGAGAGGAAGGUAGAAUUCCCGGUGUAGCGGUGAAAUGCGUAGAGAUCGGGAGGAAUACCAGUGGCGAAGGCGGCCUUCUGGACUGACACUGACGCUGAGGUGCGAAAGCGUGGGUAGCAAACAGGAUUAGAUACCCCAGUAGUC